GGAGCGGAACGCACUUGGCUCGGCAGCGCGCCAGCAACGCGUCCGGCAACACCAACACCAACCCAGUGGCACAGGUAAAAAAGUCCUUGCCAUGAACGUUUUGGGGACAGUAAGAUGGUUCAAUGUAAAAAACAAAUACGGUCUCAUAACCUGGAAUGAUAACAAAGAAGAUGUGUUUGUUCAUCAGACUGCUAUAAAAAGGAAUAAUCCCAAGAAACACCUCCAGAGUCUGGGAGAUGGAGAAAUUGUGGAAUUUAAUAUAAUACAAGGAAGAAAAGGCCCCCAAGAAGCCGAUGUGACAGGACCUGGUGGAGUUCCAGUGCAAGGUAGCAAACAUGCACCAGACUACAAACCUUCAAAAUAUUAUCCACACCAUAGAAGUCCUCCACACACCUACCAAAGAAAUAGAACCCCAAAACAACAACCAUCAAGCCCCAGCAACAGCCUAAAAGCAAGAAGAGCACAGAACACAGGUGAGCUGUCCUGAAUCCAAAAGCCCAUGUCAAUAAUGAAAGAACCUUUCAGUCCGUUUCCAACAGGCACACCACCACCUACACUGCCUUGUGCAGAGUCUAUCACAGCUGACCAUUUUACCACAGGAGACAGAGAAACAGCCCCUGCUGAAGAAAUCUUCUCCUGACUCAGUUUCCUGAAGAACUGUGCUAAGAAAACCCCACAUCUAUCCUGCCAGCUCUAAGACACUCCAAAAAAAUCUGUUUGGACAUUGGGGACUCGUAACUGUUUGCAUUUUGAAAAUUGUCUUUUAGGUGCUUUUGAAUGUGUUUGCCAUUUUGAGUUAAUUCAGUUGUUCCUUCAGAAAAGCUUUCUUAAUAAUAUAAAAAACGGGGAGUUGUGGAGGCCCUGGAGGAGCUUCUGCUAAGUUACACCCCAUUGGCUCCUUCCCCUGUUCCGAUGCCUGAACAUAGGUGUUCCUGAGGCUCUCCCUCCCUUUUCCCUGCCUAGGCCUCACCUUGAUACUGCCCGGAGACCAAGGUCAGUCGGGAGGCCCCUGGGGAGAGAGUGGGACCUUGGGGGGUGCGGAUCUGAGAGUAGAACAUCUCCCUGCGUGGCUGAAUUAAACAUCUAUGGAUAUUAUGCAAAAGCCUUUUUUGCUUCUUUACCCUGGACUUUACUAGCAGCAAUUUAGUCUGCAACAGAUUAGAUUUACGUGAACCCACCUGCAAACACAAUAAAGAGAGUGAGUGAGACCCUACAGCCAGGCUCUGAGCUGCAUGAUGCUGCAGAUUCAGCCCAAGUUUCCAUCUUCUGAUGUGAACCAGAUUCACAUGGCUGACAUCCCUACAAAAGCCCCUCCAUUUAGGGAGGGGCUGCACCCGUCCUGGCUGUGCCUCAGAGCACAUACAUUGUUAUUUUUUUCAACUUUUGCGAAAAGAACAGCUUUGACUGUACUCAUGGACAGCUAUAAAACCACCUAACUGGUACAGCUGCAAAAAGUUUUGAUUGCAUUGCCAGUGAUCCAAGAAUGAGUUUCAGUUUCAGUUUGGCUAUAUCAUGUUUUCCUGUAUUGAAACUAAAAAAAUAUUGGGAAGGAUGUAAUAACAAAGGAGAGCAGAAAAACAA
Long non-coding RNA from Melospiza melodia melodia, 1581 nucleotides. RefSeq lists it as uncharacterized. The record is from RefSeq and is a predicted model, not a curated record. The transcript has 2 exons. Lineage: Eukaryota; Metazoa; Chordata; Aves; Passeriformes; Passerellidae.